UAUGGAGCUUUCCAGGCUAGGGGUCUAAUUGGAGCUACAGCUGCUGGCCUAUGCCACUGCCACAGCAAUGCCAGAUCUGAGCCAUGUCUGCAACCUACACUACAGCUCACAGCAAUGCCAGAUCCUUAACCCACUGAGCGAGGCCAGAGAUUGAACCUGCAACCUCAUGGUUCCUAGUCAGAUUCAUUUCCACUGCGCCACAAUGGGAACUCCUCCACCUGUUUCUUAAUAAAACCUGCCCCUACCUAUAAUUUGAAAAAGUUAAGCAUUGCAUACUUUGGGGUUAAUUGUGCUGAGUCAGAGUGUUGGUUUUACUUCUAACAGGUUCAAAAAGGAUUUCUGAGAAAAGAUGGGGGGAAAAACUUUCCUAAACAUCUUAGUGAUGCUAGAAAGAUGUGACCGGAAUGUGGGUUCUUGUUCACACAGUUGAAGAAUGAACUCCACGAACAUACAGACAGCAAGCAAGCAAAGUCUUUAUUACAGGAAACCAAAUAGCUCCCAGGGCUGCUGGGAGGGAGGAGAAGAGCCCCCUUCUCUAUAGGGGUUUUUAUCCCUUAAAGAAGGGGGGGGUACCAAUGUGGGGUCCAGAAAGAUGUGGUUUUCUCCCAUUGGCCUUGCCCAGUUACCUAUAUCAGUCCUUGUCCAAUAGGGGUUUUAGGGGUGGAAACGUCCCAUAAGUUUUCUGGUUUCUUUGUCCUUCUCUUUCCUUAGUCACCAUCCUUCUCAUUCCUUUUCUGUCAGUUGAGUGGAGUAGGGAUUAAGGUCCAUGUGGGGGGAGGCACAUUUCCGUGGUGAACAAGGCCUGUGGGGAAUUACUCUCUGGAGCCCUUAAACCACGGAUGUUAAUCAAUGGCCAUAUCAAAGAAUGCAUCGAAGCCCCUGCUCCUACACUGACUACCUGAGUUAGCAUUCUGCCUCAUUAGCAUAGAGGAAAAACCCCCAAACACUCAACCUUAGUUCUUAUGUUUUUGUUUUUUCUACUCAAUAACUGUUUCACUUUGGACUUCUAGCCUUUUGACCCUCACUUUCAUCACCUGUAAAAUAGGCUCAUAAUACGUAUUUUACAGGGUUAUUUUGUGUGUUUAUUGUACUUAAUAUGAGGUGACUGUAUGGAAAUUGACACUUAAAAGCUGGUAGCUAUCAUUUAUUACUCUUGUUAUUUUUAGGAUUUCAUGUCGGUAGUCAGAGAUUAAAUUGAUUUGCAAUGUAGCAAUGCCAAGAAAGUAGUUUUUAAAAAUAGAAAUGUAUCCUUUCUUUUGAAGCGUUUGACAUUGAAGUAAGUUAUCAAAAAGAUGUUUUGAAAUUUCUUCCCCUAAAGGUCUUGAAACUAGGUCACAUUUGAUGGGGGAAGAGUUGGCUUGUCUUAGAUGACUAAACUAAAAAUUCUUUCCCAUUUGGAGGUUUAGUGACUUUAUCCCUGGCCUGAUGGACACAGAAAAUGGAUGUAAGUGACACAGAUGAAAGCAAAGGGCUAACAAUUGCUCUCCGUUUACCAAUUUCUAGUGUUUGUAAAGUGGUUCCUAGAGUUAUCUCUUAGUAGCAGUAAUAAUGCUUUUAACUUCUAUCCCAUAAUCAUCUUCCAGCAGUUUUAAAACAUUUUCUGUAAUAGCUAUUAAGUUAGUAGACAUUUCAGCUGGCUAGACUCUGUCUGGGUUGGUAAACAGUUUGUCCGGGAUAGAGAGAGGGGCCAGGCACCUGAGUCAUUUUGGAUUGUUCUGUCCACAGCAUAACCACUCAACAUACAUGCAGUUUCCCCUUUCACUCCAUUUGACUUCAACUUGUAAUUGGGAAAAGGGAAAAGUAAUAUUUCUAAUAAUGAAGAAAAUUGCCUUAUUAAAGUCUUUUUUUUCUUUGUUCCUGUGGAAAAGCAGAGGGAACUGUAUUUGGUCUUUGACCCCUCUCCUGAUACAGAGCUUGGGAUUUCCUAAAGGAAGAGAGCAAUAAAGGUGUCUUUUGUUAUGUUAAUGAGAUGGCUUUUGAAAAGCAUCCAAAGAUGGGGAUGCUGGUUGCCAGGGGAACCAACUCUGUAAUUAGAGGAUGAGACCUUCCAGUCCCACCCCCUAACUUCCUUGGGAGGGGAGAGUGGUGGUGACUUCAGUUACCAAUGGUCCAGGAUUUCAUCAAUCCUUCCUACGUAAGGAAGCCUCCAUAAAAGCUCCAAAGAGCCCCAUUCAGAGAACUUCCUCACUCAAGGGGAGAUGUUGCAGACUGGUGUUCUCAGAGAGGUGCAAGCUUCAUGAGACCCAUCUGGCUGUUCCUGAGUUAUAUCUGCUGUAAUAAACAGGUAAGUAAAAUAUUUAUCUGAGCUCUGUGAGCUGCUCGAGCAAAGCAGUCUAAUCUGAGGAGGGGGUCGAGGGAACCUCCAAUUAAGAAGCUGUUGGUCAGAAGCCCAGGUGACAACCUGGGCUUGGAAUUGGCGUCUGCAGCCAGGAGGUGGGGGCGGGGGAAUCUUGUGGGCCUUGAGCCUCUAACCUGUGACACCUGAUGCCACCGCCAGGUAGAUAGCAUUAGAAUUGAGUGGAAUUGUAGGAUACUUAGCUAGUGUCAGAGGAUUGUCUGGUGUGGGGGGAAAAACCCCACACAUAUUGGGAUUGGGUGUAGAAUCUUAGGGACACACUGAAACAUGUAGGGAUUCACACUGGAUUCGCCUGUUGUUUAAAAAAAAAAAUGAACUGAGUGAAUUUUAAAGGUCUUCUUGGCGUUCUUCAACAACUUAUAAAUCAGGCAGCAUCCAUUCUGGCAGAAGGAAUGGAGUUCCAAAGAUCUCUACAAAAUGAAAAGCUUUUAAGGCAGAAGGGAGCAGUUCUAAAGAAGUGAAACUGGGCAAUAAUGUGGGUUGGUUAUUGCAAGGUUAUUCUCCUUUAGAAGAUGGCAGGGGCCUGUGAGGAUGAUUUCCUACCCUGUGCUUAUCCAGGGGUUUCUGAUUGGUUAACAAUUCCACUUCUGGCAGAGCCAGAAACUGUCUCAGCUUGGUAACAUUGGGCUUAGCAUAAGCAACUCCAUUUUAAGCCUAUCAUCUUUAACACUAAUCAGUGUGUUUAAAAUGCUGAACAUAUGCUGUUCUUUUUUUCACUGCUUGCUUCACAUGAAUAUGCCCUAACUCCUGAUAGGAUUUUAUGUGUUCUGUGGUUUUGAAUAUGUAGUAAGAAUUGAUAAAUAUUCAUUGAAAUUAAAUUAGUACUAGGAAUACAUUAAUAUUUCUAAAAAAUAUGGGGCAGAAAUAACAUACACCUGGCUGCCUAUGUCAUUACCUGUAUGCCCCAUUCUCUUUUUAGAAUUUAUGCCUUAGGAAGUCACUAAAUAUUAAAUACAAAAGCACACACUAAAUUAGAGUAACAUAUUGAUGAAUGAUCUAGAAAACAGCUUUAUUCAGUUGUAAACUCCACUUAAUAGCUAGGUAAAUAUAUCCUAAAAAAAGUGGGAUUAAGAAAUCUUUACCGCUGGCUGAUUAAUUUAAAAUUUAAAUACCACUGGCUCUCAAGACUGAGUUCCAAAAUUACGGGUUUAUCCUCAAGAAUAUUAACAUUUUAUUAACUAGAAACGUAGUAAUGGGUGAAAUUGACUAAUUUUGACUCUGCGAUAAUUCCAGAUUUGUGACAGGGUCACCCCAAUAAAAAUUGCAGGACCCCUGUUAGGAGAAAAGGCAUUGUUAAAUGCAAUCAAGGACAGUGAACAUAUUUGAGGCACGCUAUUAGGUACUUUAACGUAUUUUCUUACAAUAUGUAAAUGGAUGCUGAUCAUUUCAAGUGAAUGUCACCUGUUCAAAGAAGGCAAACAGAAUCCAAGGAGUACUUUGAUGUAAAGAAAGUGUGGCUUCUAGGAACAUAGAAAUAAUCAAAUUCUAAAAUGUUAUGUAGACUUCAGUAAAGUGGCCUUUCUUAAGAUUAGUCCUCUUCUUUUGAUAUCAGACAUUUUAAAGAACCCAAAUCAGCCUUGUGAACCCAAACUAAGGACAUACAACCUUUUGAUGACUGAGGCAUGGUUGUUGAGUAAAUUACUACUAAUGAUAAUGAUUCCAGUGACCUGUUAUACUUGUCCUCUGCUAGGUCUUGUUUUAAGUAUAUUAAGUGGUUUAUUUUCUUCUCACACUUACCCUAUGGUGGAAUGCUUUGCCAUACCUGUUGGACAGGGAAUGGCACAGAGGCUUGGAGAGUUGAAGUGACCUGCCUUGGUCAUACCUCACUAAGUAGCAGUGGGGUCAGACCUCGGAUGUGUCUGGCUGUAGAGUGCACCUUGCUACCAUUUGGCUUUAACUACUCCAUGGAAAUCUUCCCUCUCAUUUUUAGCUCUUCCCCGCCAACCCCCACUGUGAAGUAUUACACAGAAGUUCUGAGAACAAACGAGUGCAAGUUACACAAUAUAGGUUUUAGAAAUAAUGUGCAAAACCCAUCCAGGACCUCUUAAUUCCGUCAACCACAAGUCCUGCCCAGCCCAUUGGCUCUCUUCUCAUAUCCAGAAGCUGCUGCCUCCUUCUGACUCAACGUGGCAGGGAAAAUAGGCAGUUUCUCUCUAGUGUGUCUCAGGUCUCUUCUGGCCACUCAGCCCUGGCGUGAGUUCCCAACUUCCCAGGUGAACCAGCCAGCUUGUUCUUGAGAGGAGAGAACUUGUAGCUUUCUCUCAGGGGACCCCCAGUAUUAAUGGUACCAUCUCCUCCACUGAUCUGCUGUAUGGAUAACUAUGUUGAUCUUUUAUUCCUGGUAUUUGUUCCUUACUCUCUUGGGCCUCAGAGCAGCAGCACAUAAUUAUUGAGACUCCCAUAGUCUUCUUAUUUCACUUUGCUAUUUUGGAGAAAUCCUGGUCCUUACCAUCACGAAGGACACUCACUGUACAGAGGUGCUCUUGUCCCUGUCUUUGGGGUGGUGAUGGAAUUACAUUUGGGUUUCCUGGCAGCCUUGCCUUUGAAGGUAAUGGACCAUUCAGUGGCACUGUCUGUAUCUGUGUAGAGCCGACUUCGGAUGUAGGAGUUGACUCAGUUUCUCUCUCUCCACUUUUUCUUCAGACGUGGAAUCGAGUAUUAAAAUUUUAUUUCUUCUUACUGAGUCAUAGAGGCAGAAAUCCCCUAGAGGAGACUCAGUGCCUUUCACCUUUUUACCACCAACCACUCAAGCCUCCCCCUUGGCCUGAAACCUAGGGGGGUGGCAACUUCUGUUCCAGUAUCUAAGUGAAGCUCAGGAAGGCUUUUCCAUGUGCCUGUUUUUCAGGAUGCCUGUUUAGGAGUUGUUUAAUUCAAUGGGCGUUGGCUCAAGCGGUUCCUGUUAUAAAAUCUCCUAGUAUUCAAAAACAAUUAGGUUGUAAAAAAAAAAAAA
RNAcentral lists this long non-coding RNA (5306 nucleotides) under Sus scrofa (pig). Its description in RNAcentral is "lncRNA (ENSSSCG00035076404.1)". The record is from RNAcentral. Lineage: Eukaryota; Metazoa; Chordata; Mammalia; Artiodactyla; Suidae.